This 253-nucleotide ribosomal RNA is filed under the name uncultured bacterium. RNAcentral's name for it is "partial 16S ribosomal RNA". It matches the Rfam family "Bacterial small subunit ribosomal RNA", at positions 524 to 776 of the family's 1533-position model. The record is from RNAcentral.
UACGGAGGGUGCGAGCAUUAAUCGGAUUUAUUGGGCGUAAAGGGCGCGUAGGCGGGAACAUAAGUCAGAUGUGAAAUCCCGGGGCUCAACCCCGGAACAGCAUUUGAUACUGUGUUUCUAGAGGGUAGGCGGAGAAAAUGGAAUUCCACAAGUAGCGGUGAAAUGCGUAGAUAUGUGGAAGAACACCGGUGGCGAAGGCGAUUUUCUAGCUUAUACCUGACGCUGAGGCGCGAAAGCAAGGGGAUCAAACAGG